RNAcentral lists this ribosomal RNA (539 nucleotides) under Bifidobacterium bifidum. RNAcentral's name for it is "bacterial SSU rRNA". It matches the Rfam family "Bacterial small subunit ribosomal RNA", at positions 161 to 711 of the family's 1533-position model. The record is from RNAcentral. Lineage: Bacteria; Bacillati; Actinomycetota; Actinomycetes; Bifidobacteriales; Bifidobacteriaceae.
UGGUAAUGCCGGAUGUUCCACAUGAUCGCAUGUGAUUGUGGGAAAGAUUUCAUCGGCGUGGGAUGGGGUCGCGUCCUAUCAGCUUGUUGGUGAGGUAACGGCUCACCAAGGCUUCGACGGGUAGCCGGCCUGAGAGGGCGACCGGCCACAUUGGGACUGAGAUACGGCCCAGACUCCUACGGGAGGCAGCAGUGGGGAAUAUUGCACAAUGGGCGCAAGCCUGAUGCAGCGACGCCGCGUGAGGGAUGGAGGCCUUCGGGUUGUAAACCUCUUUUGUUUGGGAGCAAGCCUUCGGGUGAGUGUACCUUUCGAAUAAGCGCCGGCUAACUACGUGCCAGCAGCCGCGGUAAUACGUAGGGCGCAAGCGUUAUCCGGAUUUAUUGGGCGUAAAGGGCUCGUAGGCGGCUCGUCGCGUCCGGUGUGAAAGUCCAUCGCUUAACGGUGGAUCUGCGCCGGGUACGGGCGGGCUGGAGUGCGGUAGGGGAGACUGGAAUUCCCGGUGUAACGGUGGAAUGUGUAGAUAUCGGAAAAAAACACCA